Camelus dromedarius (Arabian camel) is the source of this 107-nucleotide small nuclear RNA. The record is from Ensembl. NCBI's taxonomy places the organism in Eukaryota, Metazoa, Chordata, Mammalia, Artiodactyla, Camelidae.
GUGCUUGCUUUGGCAGCACAUAUACUAAAGCUGGAACAAUACAGGAAAGAUUAGCACGGCCCCUGUGCAAAGAGGAGACACAAAUUCCUGGAGCCUGGCAUAUUUUU